CACCGCGGUUAUACGAAAGGCCCAAGUGAAAACAUUCGGCGUAAAGGGUGGCUAAGGACCUAUUUUAAACUAGAGCUGAAUUUCUUCAAAGCUGUUAUACGCUCAUGAAAACUAGAAAAUCAACCACGAAAGUGGCUCUAAUCCCCCCUGACACCACGAAAGCUAUGACACAAACUGGGAUUAGAUACCCCACUAUGCGUAGCCGUAAACCUGACAGCUCUUUACAUUUGCUGUUCGCCCGGGAACUACGAGCGUAAGCUUAAAACCCAAAGGACUUGACGGUGCUUUAUAUCCCCCUAGAGGAGCCUGUCCUAGAACCGAUAAUCCCCGUUAAACCUCACCUUUUCUUGCUCAUUCCGCCUAUAUACCGCCGUCUCCAGUCUACCCUGUAAAGGACCCAUAGUAGGCGAAAUUGGUACAGCCCCAGACGACAGGUCGAGGUGUAGCGUAUGAAAAGGGAAGAGAUGGGCUACAUUCAGUGAAACACUGAAUACGGAAAGCUAAUUGAAACAUUAACUUGAAGGAGGAUUUAGCAGUAAGUGGCGAAUAGAGAGCCCCACUGAAACCGGCCCUGAAGCGUGUACACACCGCCCGUCACUCUCCCCGAGCAGAAAAAUUCUUUACCUAAAAAGCCAAAAAAUGUAAAGGGGAGGCAAGUCGUAA
This 663-nucleotide ribosomal RNA is filed under the name Scarus persicus (Gulf parrotfish). RNAcentral's name for it is "partial 12S ribosomal RNA". It matches the Rfam family "Bacterial small subunit ribosomal RNA", at positions 513 to 1491 of the family's 1533-position model. The record is from RNAcentral. Lineage: Eukaryota; Metazoa; Chordata; Actinopteri; Labriformes; Labridae.